This 253-nucleotide ribosomal RNA is filed under the name uncultured bacterium. Its description in RNAcentral is "partial 16S ribosomal RNA". It matches the Rfam family "Bacterial small subunit ribosomal RNA", at positions 524 to 776 of the family's 1533-position model. The record is from RNAcentral.
UACGGGGGGGGCAAGCGUUGUUCGGAAUUACUGGGCGUAAAGGGCUCGUAGGCGGCCCUGUAAGUCCGUUGUGAAAGUCAAAGGCUCAACCUUUGAAAGCCGAUGGAUACUGCAGGGCUAGAGUCCGGAAGAGGCGAGUGGAAUUCCUGGUGUAGCGGUGGAAUGCGCAGAUAUCAGGAGGAACACCAAUAGCGAAGGCAGCUCGCUGGGGCGGUACUGACGCUAAGGCGCGAAAGCUAGGGGAGCGAACGGG